CACGCCGUAAACGAUGAAUGCUAGGUGUUGGGGGUCAAACCUCGGUGCCGAAGUUAACACAUUAAGCAUUCCGCCUGGGGAGUACGGUGGCAACACUGAAACUCAAAGGAAUUGACGGGGACCCGCACAAGCAGCGGAGCAUGUGGUUUAAUUCGAUGCAACGCGAAGAACCGUACCAGGGCGUGACAUAUAUGCGCUAGCACUAGAGAUAGUGGUUUCUCUUCGGAGACGUAUAUACAGGUGG
Molecule: ribosomal RNA, 244 nt
Filed under: uncultured Eubacteriales bacterium
Lineage: Bacteria; Bacillati; Bacillota; Clostridia; Eubacteriales
Description: uncultured Clostridiales bacterium partial 16S ribosomal RNA
Rfam family: Bacterial small subunit ribosomal RNA
Source: RNAcentral